GGUCAACCUCUUGAAGGUGCCACACCAUUGUCGGUGACACUUCUAAUCUGCUUGACAUUCUGCUUGGUCUUUGGGGCAGAUUCUAACACAGUGAUUUUGCCUGUGUAGAGAAGAAGCUGUAAAACAGAUAGCUCAUUUCUUCCCAGUGGAACUGAGCUCACAUCAACAGGAAAGAGACAUAAAGCCUCCAGGCCUCCUGGGGAACACUGGAGGUUACGGUGGAAGUAGCUGGAAGGAGUUUUGAUCAUCUACUGAGGACACAGUCUCAACUGUGGGCCAGUCAGUGUGAAGGGGAGCAACAGAGCAAGCAUUCUCUCGGGGCAGAACCAGCAUCAAAAACGGAUUUCAGAAGCUCCUUCACAGUGACUAUGAUUCGAUUAGUUUACAAAGUAGUGGGUAUGUCAGCUGGUGGCAGAGGACAACAGGGCCCUCAAUCUGUUAGUGAAGCUUAAUGGCUUAACAGUGGUCGGGGUUGGGUAAAAGACAGAGAGAAGAAGAGUGAGGAAGAGGGAGAGGAGAACAAAAGUGAGCCUCUUUCUCCUGAUGCCACUGUUGUCUCAGAGUGAGUUCCACCACACCCGACAUGCUGUCUCCUCAAGGACAUCAAAAGAGGCUUAACAUCACUCAGGGAAAACAUUCCCAGUUCAAAGAAAUAAAGCAGAUAAAGGAAACUUCAGACUAGGAGUUGGACUCCCAGUAAAGAUAUUUUUCAAAAAUGAUGGAAAAAAUUAUGCUGUAAGAAACAAAAUCUAAAAGAAUUGUUGCUUAACAAACUCACAAAAAACACCCACCAAAGGAUAUUCUUAAGGCUUGAAAUAUACUAUCCAGGAUGCUAAUUCAAAUCUACAUUAAAAUUCAGAGAACAAAUGUAAAGGUAAUUACACACACACACACACACACACACACACACACACAUACACACACACUACACACUACACAGCCCUGAACAGUUUGAGUGCAUGGUUUCCUUUAUUCUUUUCAUAGCUAAUUUCAAAAUCAAUUGUGCAAAAGACUCAAUUUAGGAGAGUCAGGGAUGAGAUGGUUCUCUGAGGUAGAAGGAAUGCUAUGACAACUGUUCUCCAAAACAAAUACCUUAGAAGACAGACAGUUCCUAGAAUGGAGAAACUAUCCACAUCAAUGGCAGAAGAAACAGUCUGCAGAGACCUCUAACUAGGGAGUAGACUGAAACAGAAGUCAUCAUUAUUCUCGUCAUCCUCAUCAUUGUCAUUAGCCCACAAAAAUCCCAUGCCCGGUUGACCACUGCUGAAGUCUACAAAUAUUAAAAUAAGGAUUAUUACCAAAUUUUUACAAUGUCUUCUAACAGAAGAGAACAGAAUACUUCACAGCUUAUUUUGUGGGAGAGUAUUAUUCUGAUGUCAAAACCAGGCAAAGGCAUCACAGGAAAAAUGCACGUCAACGUCAUAAAAAUCCAAAAGACAAUAAAUGCAGCAAUACAUAAAAUGUUACACAAUGUGGAAUUUAUCCCAGGUCUGCAAGGUGUCUCCAAAUUUCUAUAUCAGAAAACAGAUAAAAUCCAAAUCAGAUGGUCACCUCAAUAUAUUUGCAAAAAUAUAUAUGAAAAAUAACACAUUUUACUGUUAAAAAUAGUAAGUCUACAGCAACAAUAAAACACUAGACUAGAAGUAGAUGGCACAUCCUUAACCCCAUAAAGCAACCAAAAGCAACAACCAAAUAAACACAAACCAGCAGAACCACACAGCAACACUAUGGAAAUUAGAUAUGGAGGGUCGAUAGCUAAAGUCAUGGGAUUUCUGAUGAUGGAGUUGAAAUACUCUAGAACCGAUUUGGGUUAUAAGUUCACAUUAUUCUGAGUGAAAACACUGGAUACUUUAAAUGGGUGAAUUGUGUAGAAUAAAAGCUGCUUGUGAAACAAUA
This is a long non-coding RNA of Peromyscus eremicus (cactus mouse), 1896 nucleotides long. RefSeq lists it as uncharacterized. Lineage: Eukaryota; Metazoa; Chordata; Mammalia; Rodentia; Cricetidae. The record is from RefSeq and is a predicted model, not a curated record. The transcript has 2 exons.